UGGUUCUGGCAUCGAUGAAGAACGCAGCGAAAUGCGAUAAGUAGUGUGAAUUGCAGAAUUCAGUGAAUCAUCGAAUCUUUGAACGCACAUUGCGCCCUUUGGUAUUCCUUAGGGCAUGCCUGUUCGAGCGUCAUUUAUCUCAAAGGCCCCCCGCUUCUGUGGGGGGGUUGUUGGGCGCAUGUCCCGCCACAGGCGCGGACACGCCCUAAAUGCAUUGGCGGCCUCCGUCUUGGGCUAUCGAGCGCAGCAGACUCGCGCCUCUGGUCCAGUGCGUUGGCGUCCACGAAGCAAAUAACAUCUUGACCUCGGAUCAGGUAGGGAUACCCGCUGA
Molecule: unclassified non-coding RNA, 331 nt
Filed under: uncultured fungus
Lineage: Eukaryota; Fungi
Description: partial contains 5.8S ribosomal RNA and internal transcribed spacer 2
Rfam family: 5.8S ribosomal RNA (bases 1-133)
Source: RNAcentral